RNAcentral lists this unclassified non-coding RNA (341 nucleotides) under soil metagenome. RNAcentral's name for it is "partial contains 5.8S ribosomal RNA, internal transcribed spacer 2, and large subunit ribosomal RNA". The stretch from base 1 to 120 matches the Rfam family "5.8S ribosomal RNA", at positions 35 to 154 of the family's 154-position model. The record is from RNAcentral.
GAUGAAGAACGUAGCGAAAUGCGAUAAGUAGUGUGAAUUGCAGACUUUAGUGAAUCAUCGAAUCUUUGAACGCACAUUGCGCCCCUUGGUAUUCCAUUGGGCAUGCCUGUUCGAGCGUCAUUUGUACCCUCAAGCUUUGCUUGGUGUUGGGCGUCUUGUCUCUAGCUUUGCUGGAGACUCGCCUUAAAGUAAUUGGCAGCCGGCCUACUGGUUUCGGAGCGCAGCACAAGUCGCACUCUCUAUCAGCAAAGGUCUAGCAUCCAUUAAGCCUUUUUUUCAACUUUUGACCUCGGAUCAGGUAGGGAUACCCGCUGAACUUAAGCAUAUCAAUAAGCGGAGGA